UCAUUUCUCUUGGCCGGCCAAAGGAAGAAAAGGGAAGAAAAGAAGAAGAACAAAACCCUAGGUGGAAAAAUUCAAGGGAAAAGUGUGAAAAUUCAAGGAAACAAGUGAAAAAAGGUAAGAUUUUUCAAUUCUAGCUUGUGAUCUACCUUUCAUAUGCAUUCUUUUUCAUUUUCCAUGGUUGAGAAUCAAGUUUGCAUGAGGAUACCCUUGCUGGCCGAACAUGGGGGGAGGAGUUUUGAACUUGGAUUUGGUUAGAUUUCAAUGUAUUUUAGUGUUUUUAGUUAGUUAGUGAUGUGUAGCAUGAAAAUCAAGCAAGAAAAAUUCAUGUUCUUCCAUCACCCAUCAUUGGCCGAAUUCUCCAUGUGGAAUAUUGAUGAUGAUUUUGAUUUUAUUUCAAGUG
This 400-nucleotide long non-coding RNA is filed under the name Theobroma cacao (cacao). RNAcentral's name for it is "long non-coding RNA (TCAC_LNC003371)". The record is from RNAcentral. Lineage: Eukaryota; Viridiplantae; Streptophyta; Magnoliopsida; Malvales; Malvaceae.